ACCUUGGAAUUGCUUUUAAAACUACAUAACUCGAAUUCGGGAGAGGAUAGCGGAAUUCUCAGUGUAGCAGUGAAAUGCGUAGAUAUUGAGAGGAACACCAGUGGCGUAAGCGGCUAUCUGGACCGACAUUGACGCUGAGGCACGAAAGCGUGGGGAUCAAACAGGAUUAGAUACCCUGGUAGUCCACGCCGUAAACGAUGUAUGUUUGUCGCUGGGGAGUUUACUCUUCGGUGACGGAGCUAACGCAUUAAGCAUACCGCCUGGGAAGUACGGUCGCAAGAUUAAAACUCAAAGGAAUUGACGGGGACCCGCACAAGCGGUGGAGUAUGUGGUUUAAUUCGUCGCAACGCGAAGAACCUUACCAGGCCUUGACAUACCAAUUAAGAGACGCAGAGACGCGUUUCGUCAGUUCGGCUGGAUU
This 421-nucleotide ribosomal RNA is filed under the name uncultured bacterium. Its description in RNAcentral is "bacterial SSU rRNA". It matches the Rfam family "Bacterial small subunit ribosomal RNA", at positions 612 to 1029 of the family's 1533-position model. The record is from RNAcentral.